RNAcentral lists this ribosomal RNA (253 nucleotides) under uncultured bacterium. Its description in RNAcentral is "partial 16S ribosomal RNA". It matches the Rfam family "Bacterial small subunit ribosomal RNA", at positions 524 to 776 of the family's 1533-position model. The record is from RNAcentral.
UACGGAAGGUGUAAGCGUUGUCCGGAUUUAUUGGGCGUAAAGAGUUUGUAGGCGGUUUUGUAAGUCUGAAGUGAAAUUAUGGAGCUCAACUCCAUACACGCUUUUGAAACUACAGAACUAGAGAAUGUUAGGGGUGAGUGGAAUUUCCAGUGUAGCGGUGAAAUGCGUAGAUAUUGGAAAGAACACCGGAGGCGAAGGCGGCUCACUGGGACAUUUCUGACGCUGAGAAACGAAAGCUAGGGGAGCGAAAGGG